Small nucleolar RNA from Cebus imitator (Panamanian white-faced capuchin), 129 nucleotides. Ensembl annotates it as small nucleolar RNA, H/ACA box 11F. Lineage: Eukaryota; Metazoa; Chordata; Mammalia; Primates; Cebidae. The record is from Ensembl.
GAGGUGUGCUCAGAGCAGGGGGCCUGAAGAAUGGCUCCUCUGUUUAUAACACACCCAACAGGAAUCUGGAGUCAUUGUGAUGAGAGGCAUGAAGCUUGUGGCCUCCCUACAAACAAAUGCUCUACAUGU